UCCACUGCAAAAGAGAAAUUAGGGUAAUAAAGAACCCUGCAAGGACUCUAGACGUUAAAAGGCCCGCUAAGCUAGGUAAGCAGGACUCUGCAGCCAACAGAGGGAGAGAAGCAGCUGCACAGCAUGACUCAGUCUGUCUGAAGGGUCUUUGGGUGCCUUCUGGAAGAAAGGGCCUUCGUGGAUGUCGACUGUGAGUCACUUGGAGGAAAGGGAGGCCCCGCUAGGAGCUGUGGAUGGAGCUGGUUCUCAGUGCUGCUUGUGAGACUCAAAGAGUUGUAGGCGUCCACAGCCACAGAAAUCUGCACAGGGCUUGUGGGGAGGGCUGGGAACAGUGACCAGUUCUGAGCCAAACCAGGUCAGGAUUUUUGCUCUGUGACUGACGACCACGUCCAAAAGCCGAGGGAUGAAUGAGACAGGAACAUCAUCAGGAUGAUAGCCAUGGAAAUUGCUAGCAGAAGGCACUGAAGCCAAGAAGGAGAGGAAAGAAGGGAGCGAGUCCCCACAGAGCACACACCAUGCGCUAUCUUCCUGUCAGCAGCUAUUCGCUGGAUGUUCAGCAGGCUGUGGCAAGUUCAGGUUUUCCAAAAUGCUCUUUUCCAUCCCUGAAGAAUACCACAGGCUUCUCUUAAUUCAGUCUCCCUAGCCAGAAAUUAUAAGUUCAGGUUACACUGAAAGAGUGGGUUUGAGGUUUCAGGGCACACAGAAGCUCACACACAACGUGCAUUUUACGAGGCUGAUGGCCCACAUGGUUGACACAGUGCCUGUGCCCACGCUGAGGUAUUUCAAUGAGAUCCAAAACCUUCAAAUGAAGCCAAAUCUUCCAGUUUUCAUUUGGUGAGGCAUGCUUUUUCUUGAUAAAGCUGUCUUGUUUUGAUAACCUUGCUGGAGGACUGAAAAAACAGGAAGUGGCUUCUGCAGGGCCACUUCUAGAUGUUAGGAACAGGCAGGAGCAAGAGGGAGCAGCAAGCACUGUAGGAGCCCUCUGGGUUUGUGGCUACAUAAAGCAUCUGUGCCAAGAGAUGAGCACCUCUCUCCAUUGCUGCUGGCAGCCCUCACUCUGACAAGAAGCUCAGGGUUAUCGUAUGACAAGAAGUGAAGAAACAAACCAUGGGGCUGGGUGUGCCAUCAGAAAUGAAAUUUUCAGCUGCAAUUAGCCUCCUUAUCUCUGUAACAGCAGCAGCAAAUGAAUCUCCCCAAGGUGGUGUACUACAGGGAAAUGUGACUGGUCAUUGCUGUCGGGUACAGAUGGCUCCCCUGGCAUGCAGCUGUCCUUAUCAGCUAUGGGAGAUGUGAAUCUUGCUGGCACCAAUCCUGAAACUAGAACAGAUACAACUGGUGAAAACCUGGCAGAUGCAGGGAAUCCAGCCCAGUGGGCUGCCUGCUACCCAGUAUACAGGGCAGACUUCCCAAAGGCAGGCUACAGCUCCUUCAGAUCAGUACCUCACAUGCAGGACUCCCAUAUAAAACAUCUAGGGCAUAAGCAUUCUGUCAGACAAAGUAUUUUGCCCUGCUGGAGUUAUCCUAGUUAAGUGAAAGGGAGGGUGGAAAGCCAGCUGAAAGCACCAGGCCACGUGCAAAUGAAAGUGAUAUCGUGAGUCUCUUUCUGGGAAAAAGAACAACAACAAAAUCCAGCACAUUUCAAAAAUAGAGGUUCCUCAGCUAAAGAUAGCCCUGGCCAGCUGCUGUCUGGGGCAAUCUCCUGCAGAUCACCAGCACCUCCUCCAGCUAGGUACGUGUGAGGCUGCAGCAUCCGCCUGCACUUCCUUUAAAAAUGAUUCUGGCUGGUGGAACACAAGGACUGGAGUCUCAGUUGUACGCCAGCAAUUCAAUGAUAAAUUGCCACAUUUUAUUACUAUUAAUCAUUUGAUAAAAUAGGGAGGUGGAAAAGUACCAGGCCUAAAGACGUACGGGAGGGUUUCCACUACAUCUUGCAGAGAAAGAUUGUACAGACCUCAUCAUCACACAGCCAGAUGUCUACAAGUCUGGCAUCUAUCAGAAAGUGCACAUCUGACCUCUGCGGAUGGAGACACAUCAAAGAUGGACACCCAGCCUGGCAGCAGCAGGAUGUACCUCCUGAAGGCACCAUCUCCUCCUCUAGCUCUUAUCAGCGCGUACAAGUGUGGGCAAAGUAACACAUUUCUAGAUGCCUAUGGCUAAGCAAGACAAACCCAACCCCGACUCCACUGAAGAACAUGGAAAACGUACGCUGAGCUAGGAAGACAUCCAAUGUGUUCCAGGCAGACUCAAGUGACUUCAUUUUCAGGAACACUGGGUCUUCAGAGCUUGUAGGAAGUAGGGAAGAAAUGUUUCUCCAAGGACACAUCCAGCUGGGACUUGGUCUCUGUCCCUGGAAUGGCUCCUGCCCACUGAAUUCGUUUCAGGGCCAGCAGUGACUAGUACCGCCCUGCCGUCUGUCUCUCCAUGCAAGUUAUGUCUCUCCUGAGAUACAGUAAGGGUGUAUUGAAGAUGUGGAGGCUAAAAUUCAGAAGUUCAGGCAGAGAAGGUCUCUGGGAACCUAACCGAAAGAUUGAAAAUAAGCAUUUUGUGAGCCAACAAACUUUUUUAUUCAGUCUCAUUCGCAUGCUCCUCAUCAACACUGUACAUGGGGGCUGAACGGAGUCAUUAAUGGAUUUGUGCAGAAUUCAUCAAAUUUAUUUUGCUUGGGAAAACACUAGAAAUGUUGUCAGUAAAGCCAAAAUGUUUCACUUUGGUCCUUUUACAAUGAAGAGUUUAACAUUUUGUUGUGAAACAAUUCUUGUUGAAAACAAAUCACUCCUGAUGUUAAACAAGGGAACUAGCUUUCAACAGUAUAGAGAAAUCUCUUCACAAACUGAAUAUCUAAUUAAAUCCAGAACACUUCGGUCUUUUUUUUUAAAUUAUUAUUUUGAAAGAUCAACAGACAAGAUUUCAAGCACUCUUUAAUCUAGAACUUUUUUCCCCCCAAAGUUUCUCUUUGACUAAUUAAAUGCCAAAUUGUUUAUUGAUGCAGUUCAAGCCAGAACUUGGAUCUCCUCCACUUGUUCACAUGUUAUCCUAAAAUCAGCAUAUACUCAUGGAAAUUUUUAUCCACUUGACCCUUUCCCCAGGUUACAUGCCCACAAGCUGGCCCUCACCACUGAAAGCAGCGCUGUCCUGCAAGGGCAGCUUGAAAACAUCCAACAGCAUCCAACAGGCUGAGCAAACCUGAAUCUUCCCAGCCCUGGGCCAAGGGCACAGCACCAGAUAUGCUUGGAUUGUAUGAACAGCUAGCCCUGGCAUCAUACCUCAUUCUGGGGGAAGUUUUGCCUUCAAAAACCUAAUCAGCGUUAAUCUUCCUAGCAUGUCAACGCAAAGCUGUCCUUUUUCCUUUCCAGGGUGGGGGGGAAUAAAGCCAUAUGAAAGCCAUUAGCAUUGUAGUCUGGCUGAGUUCAAGCCAAAGGCAUACGACACAUCGAACGUUAAUUGUUCGGGCAUUUCAGUUAUGUGGGAAUAGUUUUAAGGACAGUAAAUCAGGUCAAUUUAGUAUUGCUCUAAUAUUGCAAAAAUUGCCUGACAAAAGCUUGAUGUAGCUUAAGCUGAUGACAUGAUUGCAGACAACCAUUUAGAAGCUGUAACAGAGCUGGGAGGCUCAUUAAGCUGAGCUUGCACAUAUCUAUGGGGAAAUAUGGCUUCAUCAUGAGCCUACAGAGGAGAUCAAAUACCUUGGACUGCAUUCAGAAGUAAUGCAUGAACUUCAGAAACAACAAAAAAAGGUUAAGACUUACAUAUUGACUGACAUGCUCACCUCUGCUAUGAAUUCACGGGUGCUGCGUGAGAUACCUGCAUACUCCCCCAAAAAGCUGUCAGGUGAAAAUGGACAGACUUGAGGAAGAAGCAAGUUUUUGCCAGCUUGGUUCCUUUUAAAUUCACUGAGUUUUCCUGCUGCCUAAAUGGGAGAGUUUGUAUUACUGAUGCCUUGUCUGACACUAAUUUAAGUUGGUGCCAGGAGUUGGACCCGAUGAUCCUUACGGAUCCCUUCCAACUCGGGAUAUCCUGUGAUUCUAAGUUCUAAUUAGGUGAUGAAUGUAAACAAUGACAACUCAUCUCACAUUACAAAUGAUUCUGUUACUGACUUGCUAAAAUGCCGUUACAAAUCUAAAGAACACCAAAGGUUUAAGUACUCUGGUUUGGAGUUUCUUUUGAUGGAAAGUAAAUAUCAAAGAGGAGUUGUCCCUGGAUAGAUUUGGGAGUACCAGAAAAACAUGGAUGCGUGUCUUUAUGCAAUCCAAAAGCAUGAAGUAAUUUUUUCCGGUUCAAAGAGCAACCUCCAUAUUUAAAACUAGCUUUUUCAACAGGACAAAUUCCUCUUGGCUUUGAACAGGAGCUCCAAGCAGACAGCAAGCUCUAUUUACUCGCGUCACUUGACCUCUCGCGUCUCCUGGGUUUUAUUAACAGGAUCCUCCUUCGAUGGAUUUGCUUUGAACAGCACAUCAAAAGUGCUCUUAGAGUAGGAGCUAGAACUAUAUUUGGUUGCAGGAACUUGUAAUGGGAAACUUUUUUUUUUUUCCUAGAAAGCUCACAGAAUGCCACAAAAUACAUAAAGAACGGAGCUGGCCUAGCCCGAACAUUUGGUAGGUGAGUCUUGAAUUAAGCAAACCACUGGCAAGCCGUGUGCUAUCCUGCUGUCUUCAGACUGUUUAUUCUAAGCCUGGGUAACUGCAACAUGAUGAAAGGCUUGGGGUUAAAGCUCUGUUUCCCAUCUUGUCAACAAAAUUAAAGGUGAACCCUUUCCUAAGAUCUUUAUUUUGGUAUUUUCUAUAGUAUUGGCUUUACAUGUAGCGUCUACCAUUGACAGCAAAAGCCAAGACACCACAAAGCAUAAACACCAGCCUGAAAUGUUCUCAGACUCCUGGAUUUCCAUGGGAAUCUGGAAUUUGAACGGGGAAAGCCUGAGGCAGAUUUCCUGAAAUAAAGGGAUGGCUGUUUAAAAGGCAAUUAGAGCACUUCGAAAUCUGCAAACCCAAACAAAUCAUGCUGCAGGGCAGUCUGUCUCCAAUCACCAUAUGUAUAAAUCUGUCCCAAAGUAUUAGCAGCAUUGUGCAUCUACAGUCCCUGCCUCAAGCCAGGCUCUGCUGCACCCAAUCUCGGCUCCAGCAUACCACGAACUGCAGCCCCUACCCAUGUGUUGCAAUCAGACUGUCCAGUCCUUGCUGUUUCACCCAGUUUCAUCCAGAUGGAGCAAAAAAAAAAAGUUUUCUGGCAGUGAAGUCUGGCCGUCCUUUGGAUUAAAGGGAAGAGAGGUCAUGCAUGCAAAAGAGGUGCAAAGAUGCACUCUUCUACCUGAGCAGGACCAUCAAAGCACGAUAAUCUGUUUAAGCAUUUUAUUACUCCCACGUUUGACUUUUAAAGUCUGUAAUAAUUCUGGCAUACCGCUUGCUCUGAGCGGAUCCAAAGUGAUGCACGUAUUCAUCAUCGCUCUUGGGACAGAUUUCAGAAAAUACAAAUCCUGGAUGGGAUGGAGCUGUUGAGAAAAUUUCAUGCUGGAUCACAUUUAUUGAUCUCCUGUAAUGCAGCAGCUGAAGACACCACAAGUUUCAAGAGUGAAAGGAAAACUUCUGUUUCCUCAAGGAGAAAGCCAAACUUUAAAUGACAUGACAGAGCAGUUGCUGCUAGAAGAGCUUUAUAGGGCUUCCCACUACAAAAGGUCGGGAUCUAGAGGAGCCAUCAGCAAGACCAAAUGGGAAACACAAGUGGCACCUGCUGGGGGUCCUGGUGCUAUGGUGUGGGAGUCCAGGGAGCAGCACUCACAGCUUCACCUCUGCACAAACUUUGGAAAAUAAUCACUCUCUCCAUUCCCCAAUCCCUGAGAUGUACAAUAGGAGGAUUAACAGUAACUUGUUUGGCUAUUUUAUGCAAUUACACUAGGCACGGGUAUCUUUUCAGCUCCGUCUGCAUAGUGUGCAGCCUCAGGGUCAAUUAAAGCCCCUGGGUGCUGUUGUAAUCCAGGUACAUUUAAUAACUGCUACAGAGAUGGUGAUGCUAAAUUACUGUAGGUUCUCAAGCACCAGAUUACAUGGAUCUGGAGUUUUACAAAGGUACUCCCACACUAGUGAAAUGAAUACAUCCUUAUCUCUGCAAAAAGAGCCAAGCACAGGUGGGUUGGCAAGCGCAGUUUCUGUUCUCUGGAAAGCUACAACAUGCUUGCUUGUUCCUAGAGAGAACAAGGCAAAUUAAAUAAAAAUCACAUGUGGAAAUUCAUCAGUGAGUUGUCUAAGAAAAAAAAUCAAUACAUUGACAAAGCAGAUGUUGAUGGCCAGUUGGAAAACAGCAUUAGCGUGCACAGCUGCCUUGCAGGCGGUGGGUGAUUUGUACUAGGAGCCCCUGGCAGCAACACUCCAUGUCCUUAUGAGCACCUCAUUAAGAUAUCAGGGAUGAGGAGGUCUGUGGGACCCCACGUGCUCCACGGGGAAGCAGAACCCUGGUACUCAUCCGGAGGUGAGCCCUUCCUAACCUCUGAAACAUUCCUCAAAGGGACAGCGUGCAUAUCCCAAAAUAAGAGUCAUUCCACUGGCCUUGGGUCAGAUCUACAGAGAGCAAACAAAAUCCAAGGCAAACCCUUGAGCACUUCAUGGAAAGAUUCCCACUGGCUUCAUUAAACUUCCAUUUGGGUCAUUGGGCUGCAGCCCAAAACAUCACGUUCUCCAGAUAAGAGGUGGGCUUUUGGCGACAAGGUAACACCUCCGUGAUCCUUGGCUGCAGGCAGAAUCAGCCCUAUCCCCUAUCUGAGAGGGGAGCUGGAAGGCACCCCAGCAUGGCACACAAAGAAAGAAGUAAUGCAGAUGCUAUGUUGUUUUUUUGCCUUUGUCAUGCAAAUACAGAUCAUCUCCCUGAGUGUCUGACAGCUUGAAACAGCUGCGCAGCUUCCUAAGGCAAAAUCGCUGGAAGCCGCUUCACUGUAAUAUUUCAUAAAAUACUACACCCUGCCCUGUUUCCCUGCAUAUGUAUAUAUAUUUGUUUGCUCUACACAUUCUACACUGCACAAGAAUUUUCUAUUUCCUGGCAGUCCUGGAAAUCAUUAAAUGACCUCAGAGCACGACAGACCAGAUGCUCUUGCGCCGCUUUAUAAAAAAAGCAAAGCCUCAAAAUUCAUAACACCUGUUCUGAGUCCUAUGGCCAGCUCUGCUAGUGAGAGCCCAGCGGUCCAGAGGGACCCAGCUGCUCAGCGUCCGUACAGCACAUCCCAAGGCACGCUGUGGGCUGAUAUGCAGCCUUCUGGGACCUCCCUCUCCUGAGCAGAGACCGCCCCCAUGGUGUUUUUUUGUUUUUGGUAAGUGUGCCUGGCUAAAUUGUGCUGUGCAGCAACGCUGUUCGGAUGUACUUGUGAAGUACAGGGUUGCCUGGUGCUAACACGUGCUGUGCUUUCACACCUGACAGCAGGGACAAGUUGAAGUCAAAUCCUGCCUCCUUGAAGCUGGUGCAAUUGCUCUGAGAGGAAAUAUGAGGGGGGAGAACUGGCUGAUUCUGUUGUGCUCGUUCCCCUCAUUAAAGGGCUGUCACAGAAGCAGUCACAGCCAGGGGCAGGCAGGUGAGGUGGUGGAUGCAGGCAUAAGAAAUAAAAAAAGCUGUCUCAGGAGCUUAAAAUCCAAACAGCUAAAGGGUAAAGAACUCUCCCAUGUAACUAUAGGAUUGAGACAGAUAAGGCUUUAAAAGGCAGGCUUCAUGUCACAUGGAAAAAACCUCUGGCACAGCAAUAAUUUGGACUCCCUGUCCUGUAUGAAACUCAGUCCUUCUUGCUAUCUCUCUGCCUGACUCCCAGCACCAGAUCUGUCCUGCUAAGGGUGCCAGCAGUGCUGGGGGAACGUUUUCCUGCUGGAGGAGAAAAUAAAGGGUGGAGUGAGAUGAGACUGACCGUGAGGGAAUUCGGGAUUAUUAUUAUCAUUGUGGGGUUUCAGACUUUUUUUUGGUCCCUCUCCAUUUUCAGCUCUGCAUAUAGAGAACUAGAGCCAUCACCACUGAAAGUUUUCCCUGGCACUUGGGUUGUUGCCCUGACUCUGACCCUUCUUAGAAGCAGGGUUGGGAAGAGAGAGGAGCCAGCAGCUGCAAGCAGCCCAGCCAUGCAUCUCACUUAGCUGCUGCCUGACAGCGCACACCUGAAAGCAGGAGCUUCCACAACAGCCAGAAGCUUUACAGACCAACAGAUCUCUCAGCCUGUACCCUCCGUUCUUUAAUUCUGAAGCUCAGGAGACAAUUAAAAACAUAAUAAUAAACUCCGUGGCUUCUUAGAUAUUUUCCCCUAAGAAGGUUUGAAGUCUCAACAUUCCCACUGGGUCUCAAGCCCAGGACUUCCACAAUUUGGCUUUUAGACCUGCCCUUAAGCCCUUGGCACCAAUAAAUACAGAUACCCCAGGGUGGUUGAGCCCUCAUGGGAGGUUAAGUGCCUCUCUUCUUCUGUACAACUGAUAAAGGAACAGGCCAACAAGGCUGAUAUGAUCCUUAGAGCAGGCUGCUGGAGCAGAUGAGCUCUCCAUCCUCCACAGGAGGCAGAGACCCAUUUAAGAAGGCACCUAAAGGUGUCUGGAAAAGCCUCGCUUUUAGCACCCACGUUUGAGCAAUCCCUGUUUCUUUUAGGAUUUCAAGCUUUAAACAACCCCUUUAGCUCUCCUUCUCAUUUCUUUUCUAAGCAGUAAGUUCUAUGGAGGCAACAGAGCAUCUUUGGCCUUGUUCAUGUAACACUGGGAGUGGUGGGUGCUGGCUUUGCACAAAUAGCCUGAGAAAUCUCACAGCAGAGCCAAUAUCUGCUCCCCAGGGUACAGUCCUGCCAGAUAGUAAUGCCUGCCAGACUUGCUGGUUCUUAGCGUUGUUGUAACAUUCUACGACCUCACCACAGAGCUCUUUCACCUCAGGGAUGUCACAUGCAUUUAAUCAUCUCCCAGUAGCCACCCCCAGUUCUCCCAACAGCUGCACGCACACAAAAAUACCCACAGCCAUGAGCCAAGCAGCAAUAACAGCUCAAAGAUCCCAAAGUCUGAUUUCCUCUGUCAUUUGGGGCUCUUUCUCAAGCCUGCUGACUGCCUGGGACUCUUCCCACCGACCUAAAAGGUCAGAGAUUGGGCAAAUGCAACUAGUCAGGGACUGCACCCCCACUAGCUGCUGAAAAGCCCGUUAUGACUGGAGUUGGUGGAGCAGCACUGUUCAAGUGGCUUUGCCACUCCCUGUGAAACAGGCUCUUUCUAAGGGAAGAGGUCUCUGCUCACAUAAGCACCUGUUGCUGACACGCUCCUCGCCACCACCAAAUACAACCAAACACAGCGGCUCAGCCUGUUCACUCACCCUCUCCAUCUCCUCUUCUCCAUGGAGCAGCCUCUGUCAGCUUCCAGCAGCACCCUGAACUCCUAGGGCCACCUGCCUCUGUAAAGCCAGCUCCUUUCUCCAAGAUGAGGUUUUCCUAAAAGGAGCAGAAGAGCAAAGAGGUGAAAUUUUGUCAUCAGUUAACUCCAUCUCUCCUGCCUGCUGUCAGGGCCAAGCCUUCUUCUGUUUCCCCCAGGCUGCACAGAGCAGAUCCUGAGAUCCUGGCAGUCCCCAGAGUCUGUCCUGGGGAAUCUUCUCAUUUCAUGCCCCAGGGUUAAUUCCUGCUCUCCUCCUCCCCCCCUUCUGAACCACAAUGCACAACCUAACCCUUCUCCAUCACAGCAUUAAACUUUUGCAGGAGUUUGGGUUGAAAAGAACCUGUUUUUUUCCCCACACUAAUCCAUCCCCAGACCUUUCCCUGGUGAUACUCACCCACUCAGAAAGCAGACCAAGGACAGAUGAACAAAAAUGAUAAACCAAAGAAGCUGGAUGCAAAUGGCAGGGCCCACGGAGCACGGGGAUCUGACAUGACAGGAGCCACAGGAAGGUCAGCUCUUAGUUAAUAUCACUCUUGGCAGUGACAUUAAAAGACCAUCCUCAGGAGAGGUGAUUUCAGCUCCUGGCUCUGACAUGGGCCUCCUGCCUGACUUGGACACCUCAGUCUUUCACCCUUUCUCUAAUGGUAGCAAUAUUCUUUCCGCUCCAUUUUAUCUAUAUAUAUCAAUUUUUUUUGGAGGAAGGGUAGGAUCAGGCAUGUGCUUUCUGGGCUUUGCUGUGAUUUCCCAGAUCUGUUGGGUUUGAUCCCAAUGUUUGCCUUGCUGGCAAACUGCAAAUGCCCCUUCAGCCCAAAGAGGAUCCUGGCUCUGCUUAGGUUUUUUAAAGCCAAUUAGUUAUUACAGACAUGUCUCAGCUAUUACCACAUCAUUAAUCAACAUAUCACAAAUACAGCAGCUUUAUUUAUUUAGCUAUUUCAGGCCCCUCUCCAAGUAACUAUUCUAAUUGUUGACGACUACUUUGCCUGUAUUCUUGUGAUGUGCUUUCUUACUGUGUGCUUUUGGACGGAUUUCUCACCAAAUGAAAAAAUAUUGUUUUGUCAGGAAAAAUAAAUACAUUUUUAUUAUGAA
This is a long non-coding RNA of Anas platyrhynchos (mallard), 10430 nucleotides long. RefSeq lists it as uncharacterized. The record is from RefSeq and is a predicted model, not a curated record. Lineage: Eukaryota; Metazoa; Chordata; Aves; Anseriformes; Anatidae.